RNAcentral lists this long non-coding RNA (2896 nucleotides) under Pan troglodytes (chimpanzee). RNAcentral's name for it is "long non-coding RNA NONPTRT007962". Lineage: Eukaryota; Metazoa; Chordata; Mammalia; Primates; Hominidae. The record is from RNAcentral.
CUGGUUGGUCACGUCCCCCGGGAGGCCCCGGAUCAGUAUCUUGCGGCGGUUACGGAACUGGCGCUCGGUGUGUUCCAGGCGUUUCCGGAUCUCUUCUGGAUCUAGAGGCGGCAGCUCUUCUUCCGGCGCCCGGCGCUCCGCGGCAUCGCCGGCUUCGACUUCGGCCCCAGACUUAGGGCUCAGCGGGGGCCGGUGAGUAACGGACACGUCCGCCGCCAUCUUGGGAAACCCGGCGCCUUCUGGGACCAGCGAGCCGGGGCGGAGCGGCAUAGAGCGGCAACGAGGGCGCGCCCGUCGAUUGGCUGGGAGAAACCCCACCUCCUUCCCGCCCCCCUUGCCCCGUUGGCUAAGCCCCAGCCCGCCUCUCAAGAGUUCAAGCUGCGUCUGCGCGCCACAGGCCCCGCCCCCUUCCGUCGCAGCGACGCUACUCAGUGGAUGUGCACCUGGGUGGGAGAGACUUGCAGCGCGGGUGGAAUCAAACCACAGAUUAGGGAGUUUGAAGGCUUUAUUGGUGCGGAAUCUGAGGGCACAGCCAAGCCCCCGCCAACUUUGAUCCCGGAUCCCAGCGUCACUCAGCUCUGGACGGUUCUUCCCCCAUUGCUUGUGUCGGCUGCAUAGACGUGAGGGGCAGAUAGGUGCUCUCCUCCCUAACAUGGUAACUGCCGCUCCGUUUGUGCUCCCUGAAGACGUACAUUAAGGCCAGUACGAUAGUCACCACGCCCAGGGUCAGUAACACCGCCACGAAGACGGGGACAAAGUGGGAGCUCCCAGCUGUGCAGAGAAAGCGCUAAGUCAAUAUGCGUCCCUUCUGUCUCCAACCCCCCCGCCCCCCGGCUUACCGGUCCAGACCCGCAGCCCCGUAUUAGCUCACCCUCAAUGUCCAUCACCACGACCAGGGUGUAUUUGCCUCGUGAGCUGGACGCUUGGCACUGAUAAGUACCAUUAUGUGUUACGUUGACGAAGAACGGGAUCCCCACCGGCACCUCCCGGCUGGAGCCUUCCUUCAAACACCGCAGCUCGGGGUACGGGUUGCCCCUGGCUUGGCACUGCAGGACGUGUGUCGUUUUAUCUUUCCAUUUCAAGUGCUGGGGGCAUGUGGCUCGGUCAAUUUUGGGACCAUCUGUGGAACCACCAUGUGUGAUCAGACACCCAACACACCCGAGGCACAGUGGUGCAGAGGAGCGUCUAAUCUUUCCAGGACAGGGCUGGAGGGAUUAAAGGUCAGGGUGACCGACUCACACAGGACUCGCAGCUGGACGCUACUGUUCCUGUGCAAGAACUCGCCGUCCACCUCGAGAGUGGCACUGCAGAAGAAGCUGCGUCUGUCGUCACUCUCGGUAGCAUUUAGCUGAAGUUGAGCUGGCUGCCCCGGGGCCGCGGCCGGAACUCCGUCCAGCGUGACCUGGACUCGAGCCCCAGCCAUGCAACUCACGGUCACUGUGGACCCCUCAGGGGCGGUGGGCUCGCUGAGGUUCACAGUGGGUCCUAGGAAGCCUAAAGGCGGGGCAUUGCCCAGGAGCUUAAUGAACAGGACCUUCCUGUGGGUCAAGCCGCUCCCUCCGCCCUCCCCUUUCCUCUCGGGAUAUCCGGGCCACGCUUUCGGCCGUUCAAGCCUCGCCCUCUUUCCGCGCUGUGUCCAGCUUCGGGCACUCAGGCCCAACCCACGUUGCAACUGCUAUUGGGGCAAGCCAGGCCCCACCUUUUCGGCUAGUCUCCGCCCCCUCUGCCACGCCCCCAGACUGCUGAGGCCGCGCCCCCUUCCCACGCCUCCUCUUACUAAAGACCGUCAAGUUCUCCCGGGCCUCCCGUCUCUCGCCCCCUAGGGUCACGUUGCAGACGAUCUCCCGGGCACCCUCCUGAUCCGCGCGCGCCGUGGCUGUGGCUGUGGCCGUUAGCGUGUCCCCGUGGUUCAUGACUGUCGCAUUCAGCAUCUGGUCCCCCAGCGCCAGGACACACACACAGGGCCAUGAAAACGGCCUUCUUCAAAGAUCCCACGGCUCGGGCCUCCCUUCCGGGGCCACCUUGCCCAGUGGCCGGGGGCUUUCCUUCCCAGAAGCCUGUGAGGUCCAGGGUACCCCACUCUCAGGAACCCCAAGGUCAGGGCACCGUUUACCCUGGCUCAGCUCGUCACCCACCGUCUGAAGCCCCUUCUCUCACCAAAGGUUCGGAGCUGGCGGGGGGCUGAGGUGUUCACGAACAGUCCCAGCCCCUGGGGCUGCAUGUCCAGUUCUGUGCGGCAUGAGAAAGGGGCUCCGUGGUCGUCUCUGCUGGCCAGCACAGUGGCAGUGACCUCCGCUGGCUCCUCCACUGCGGGCUGCCGGCUCAGCUCCUCCUCCCAGCGAAGCAGCACCACCGUGAGGCUGGUCCGGGGCGACCCACCCUCCACUUGGCAGCGCAGGGUGAAGUUCUGACCCACCUGCUGCCAAGGAGGCAGGGGUGCCAGCUCCACACGCUCCGGGAGCCCUGAGAGAGGAGGGGAGGAUGGCACUUAGCGGGUCCUGCAAACCCACCCACUCACCCCAGGGACUGGGGAGGAGACAGGGCGGUCCUGCCGAGAACUGUGAGCUUUGAGUUAAUAAACUUAGAGGGCUUAGAGCUGGGCCAGUCGAAGCGUUUGCUAUUAUCAUUAGCGCAGUGAUUAUCAUUUCCUGUGUUGUCAGAUACCUUGCAAGGCGCUAAACAAAACUUUCUGUUCUCAAAGAUGGCACAAUAAAAAACAAUGAGGAUGGAAGGGAUGAACGUUUAUGACUAUGAUAUGAAUAUUAAAAAUUCCUGUUUAUGGCCAGAUGUGGUGGCUCACGCCUGUAAUCCCAGAGCUUUGGGAGGCCGAGGUGGGUGGAUCACGAGGUCAGGAUUACUAGUUCAGUUCUCUCCAAUCAGGUUCAGACACUCAGGG